This is a small nucleolar RNA of Dendrobium catenatum, 129 nucleotides long. RefSeq annotates it as small nucleolar RNA snoR74. NCBI's taxonomy places the organism in Eukaryota, Viridiplantae, Streptophyta, Magnoliopsida, Asparagales, Orchidaceae. The record is from RefSeq and is a predicted model, not a curated record. The transcript has a single exon.
AGAAAAGCAGGGGUCUGGUGUUUCUGUGCCCUGGCCUCUCGUAAACUUUAGGGAAACUAAUUUCAAUAUUAUUGGGUGAACCAUUGCUCAUAAUCAAUGGCAUAUGGUUCAGUAAAUAAUGAUACACAU